CGGCAGAGGAUGUCUGCAUCAUGGAGAGCUUGCUGGUAGUUUUUCAUUGAAGUACAGAGCUCUGCUCGCUGUGCUAUCAGUGAACACUUGCAAGAAGCCAUCUCCAGCGCCUGGUCGUACUUCUCCAGCGCGGCCGGCAGCUCCUGCCGCUCCCGCAGCUCGUCCCCCUCGGCGCGCAGCCGCCGCGCCCGGCUCUCGGCGCCGAACCACUUCUGCAGCAGGUUGCCCAGCACCACGUUGACCCGCGGCCGGGCGGCGGGCGGCUGAGGCUGGGCGGCGGAGGGCUCGGCGGGGCGGCGCGCCCGGUGGCAGCGGCCGCAGUCCCCGGGCUCGGCGCAGCGGCGGCAGUGGGUGUGCCCGCAGUGCAGGGUGACGGGCUCGCACAGCAGCCGCCGGCACAGCGGGCAGGCGAAGAGCUCCGGCGGACGGCAGCAGGCCGGGUCGCCCAGCGCCUCGCCCUCGGCUCCGCCGCCCGAGGAGCCGAGCGGCGGGAGCGGCAGGCGCAGCUCCUUGUCGCGGAUGCUGAGCGCCAAGCUCUCGGCCAGCUCCCGCAGCUCCUCGGGCCGCAGCCGCGCCAGCCGCGCCGCCGCGCCGUAGGCGUCCAGCGCCUCGGCCAUGCGGCCGGCCCGCGCCAGCGCGUCGGCGCGCCGGAGGCACAGGCCCCGCUCGGGCUGCGGCAGCUCGGCCAGCUCCGAGCCGUAGAUCUCGGCCGCCAGCUCGAAGUUGCCGCCGCGGAAGGCCUCCUCGGCCACCUGCAGCAUCUCGGCGCACGGGCCGCCCGAACCGCUCCCGGCGCCGGCCCCGGCGGGCAGCGCGCAGGGCCCCGGGCCCAGCUCCAUGCCGCGCGGCGCCGCCGACCCCGGGCCGCCCUACUCCAUGCCGGGCCCGCGGCGCCGCCGACUCCGGCUCCUUCCUGGGAGGGGACGGCGACGGGAAGGGAGGGCGGGCCGGGGGCGGGCCGCGCCGCGGCGGCGGGGGGCGGCUCCCGGGCCGCGGACGGCCGGAGGCGGGGGCGGCCCGCGGCAAUAGCCCGCGAGGGGCGGCCCUGCCGGGCGGUUCCCCAGGUGCCCGUCCGCUGCCGCGCGGUUCCCGUUGUGCUCGGCCUCUACCUUCCCCUUCCCGCUUCCUGGUGCCGGGCCCUGGGGCCGCUUCGGCCUUAACCGCCGGCCCUGAGGCCCGAGCCCCGGGGACGGGCUGCCCGCCGCGGGGGAGCCGCGCUCUGCACGGGCCCGGCUCGGUGUAACGCCCGGUGUGGGGCGGCUGCGGAGGGGAAGGGUGCGCUCCGCUUCCCGAGAGAGCCGAGCACGUGUGCUCGCCUGAAGAAAAAAAUAAUAAUGAAAAAAGAAAACCAAAAAAAAAAAACCAACAAGCAAAAACCAACGACAAUAAAUCGCCGAGCCCCGGCUCUCAGAAAAAAUCCUUUUCUGUAAGCGGCAGCCCUGCCAACGCAGCUUGGGGUCUGCGCGUCGUGCUGAGCGCUGGCUGGCGCAUCGGCAGCAACAAUAAAGAUAAUGCAGCUGGAAGUUAGUUAAUCAUGCGUGAGUCAGAAAGGAAUCCAACUUGCUCCGCAGGAAUAACAGGAGUAAAAAAAAAAAAGAAGAAGAAGAAAAUGUAGGCAACGUUUAUUUUAGACGCAGCUGUAAACAAACCGUUCAGAGGAACGGGAGCCUGGCAGCACGAGGAGCAGCACCGUUUCCAGUUGGGCUGCAGCUUCGUGGGGGAGAUUGCUGUGGUUUCUGCCUUCCUUCUGUGAGGCCGCAAGGCCCGGGUGGGGACCUGUCACCGCGCCUCCACCCGUGGCUUUGGUCUGCAGCCCCACUGCCUCUUGGCCUUGCCCGCUCUGCACAGCUGAUGUUUCUGGUGAUGGUUCUCUGAGCAGUGCUGACUGGCACGAUGCUUGCCUCCUGGGCUCAACGUUGCCAUCCAAAAACUGACCUCCACGUUGUGCUGCUACUUCAUCAUUCUGGGGGCAUUAGUUGAUAGCUGGCGAAACAUGAGCCAGAAGUGUAGUGUGCCCAGGUGGCCAAGAAGGCCGAUGGCAUCCUGGCUUCUAUCAGCCAGCAGGAGCAGGGAAGCGAUUGUCCCUCUGUGCUCAGCACUGGCCUUACCUCAAGUGCUGUGUUCAGUUUUGGGCCCUUCACUGCAUUGAGGCCCUGGAGCGUGUUCAGAGAAGAGCAGUGAAGCUGUGAGGGGUCUGGAGCACAAGUCCUAUGGGGAGCAGCUGAGGGAACUGGGGUUGUUCAGUCUGGAGAAGAGGAGGCUCAGGGGAGACCUUAUUGCUCUCUACAAUGACCUGAAAGAAGGUUGUGGUGACGUAGGGUCAGCCCCUUCUCCCAUGUUAGCAAUGAUAGGAUGAGAGGUGGCAGCCUCAAGUUGUGCCAGAGAGGGUCCAGGUUGGAUGUUAGAAAAAUCUUUUUCUCACAAAGAGCGGUGCUGCAGUGGCACAGCUGCCCAGGGAGGUGGUGCACUCACUGUUCCUGGAGGUGUUCAAGAACCGUGUGGAUGUGGCACUGAGGGACACGAGUGGGCAUGGUGAGGGUGGGCUGAUGCUUGGACUACAUGAGGUGUUUUCCAACCUCAGCGGUUCUAUGAUUUCACUUCUUGACAUCUUCACUUGGAGGUAAGAUGGCAUCAAUCCCAUUGCCAUGUUAUCAGAGUAUGCUGGGGCUAUUAUUCUUGUUAUUAUUCUUUUAAGACAGAGCAAAUAUGCCUGGUUCUGCUCCACUGCAUCGAGGCCAGGUCUCAGGAACAUGGAAGGAUGAGUAAAUUUGGGCUUGCCCCUUGAG
Molecule: long non-coding RNA, 2786 nt
Filed under: Gallus gallus (chicken)
Lineage: Eukaryota; Metazoa; Chordata; Aves; Galliformes; Phasianidae
Source: RNAcentral